CCUACGGGUGGCAGCAGUCGAGAAUCAUUCACAAUGGGGGAAACCCUGAUGGUGCGACACCGCGUGGGGGAAUGAAGGUCUUCGGAUUGUAAACCCCUGUCAUGUGGGAGCAAAUUAAAAAGAUAGUACCACAAGAGGAAGAGACGGCUAACUCUGUGCCAGCAGCCGCGGUAAUACAGAGGUCUCAAGCGUUGUUCGGAAUCACUGGGCGUAAGGCGUGCGUAGGCUGUUUCGUAAGUCGUGUGUGAAAGGCGCGGGCUCAACCCGCGGACGGCACAUGAUACUGCGAGACUAGAGUAAUGGAGGGGGAACCGGAAUUCUCGGUGUAGCAGUGAAAUGCGUAGAUAUCGAGAGGAACACUCGUGGCGAAGGCGGGUUCCUGGACAUUAACUGACGCUGAGGCACGAAGGCCAGGGGAGCGAAAGGGAUUAGAUACCCGUGUAGUC
Molecule: ribosomal RNA, 446 nt
Filed under: uncultured bacterium
Lineage: Bacteria
Description: partial 16S ribosomal RNA
Rfam family: Bacterial small subunit ribosomal RNA
Source: RNAcentral